UUCUUUAAGAACUAAUUUAAAGUAAAUCCUGCUCCAUGCAAUUAAAUAGCCGCAGAUUAUCUGUGCUAAGGUAGCAUAAUCAUUAGCUUUUUAAUUAAAAGAUAGAAUGAAUGGAUUCACGAAAUUAAAACUGUCUCAUUAUUAAAAUUUAAAAUUCAUAUUUCAAUAAAAAAGUUGAAUUAUAAAAGUAAGACGACAAGACCCUAAUGAACUAAUUUUAUUAGCUAGGGCGGCUAAAUAAAAAAACCUUAUAAUAAUCAAUUACAAAACUAAUAUAAUUAUAAAAGAAAAAGUUACCAUAGGGAUAACAGCGCUACUUCUUUUUAAAGUUCUCAUUAAAAAAGAAAUCUACGACCUCGAUGUUGAAUUAAUUCCCUUUACAGCAAUUCUUUAGAGCAAAAUCUAUAAAAGGUAGUCUGUUCGACUAUUUAAAAAUU
This 437-nucleotide ribosomal RNA is filed under the name Changminia huangdi. RNAcentral describes it as "Holocneminus huangdi partial 16S ribosomal RNA". Lineage: Eukaryota; Metazoa; Arthropoda; Arachnida; Araneae; Pholcidae. The record is from RNAcentral.